GAGGUCAUACCAGUGUAUUGCAUCGGAUCCUAUUAGAACUCUGAAGUUAAGCGUGCUUGGGCGUGAGCAGUACUAGGAUGGGUGACCCCCUGGGAAGUCACCGUGUUGCACCUU
Molecule: ribosomal RNA, 114 nt
Filed under: Zingiber officinale
Lineage: Eukaryota; Viridiplantae; Streptophyta; Magnoliopsida; Zingiberales; Zingiberaceae
Source: RNAcentral